CCUACGGGAGGCUGCAGUGGGGGAUAUUGCACAAUGGAGGAAACUCUGAUGCAGCAACGCCGCGUGAGGGAAGGAGGUCUUCGGAUUGUAAACCUCUGUCCUCAGGGACGAUAAUGACGGUACCUGAGGAGGAAGCUCCGGCUAACUACGUGCCAGCAGCCGCGGUAAUACGUAGGGAGCAAGCGUUGUCCGGAUUUACUGGGUGUAAAGGGUGCGUAGGCGGCCCUGCAAGUCAGGUGGGAAAACUAUGGGCUUAACCACUAGAUUGCACUUGAAACUGGGGGGCUUGAGUGGAGUAGAGGGCGGGGGGAAUCCCGGGGGUGGCGGUGAAAGGCGUAGGGACGGGAAGAAAACCAAGUGGCGAAGGGGGCUUGUUGGGCUUUAACUAAGGUGGAGGAACAAAAGCGUGGGUGGAAACAGGAUUAGAUACCCUUGUAGUC
RNAcentral lists this ribosomal RNA (440 nucleotides) under uncultured bacterium. Its description in RNAcentral is "bacterial SSU rRNA". It matches the Rfam family "Bacterial small subunit ribosomal RNA", at positions 338 to 795 of the family's 1533-position model. The record is from RNAcentral.